Molecule: small nucleolar RNA, 71 nt
Organism: Rhinolophus ferrumequinum (greater horseshoe bat)
Lineage: Eukaryota; Metazoa; Chordata; Mammalia; Chiroptera; Rhinolophidae
Source: Ensembl
UGGAUCGGUGAUGACUACUGGUGGAGUAUGAGUCAUAUAAUGAAUAAAUUAUCCGGAACUCUGAGGUUCAU